This 483-nucleotide ribosomal RNA is filed under the name uncultured Scutellospora. RNAcentral describes it as "SSU rRNA". It matches the Rfam family "Eukaryotic small subunit ribosomal RNA", at positions 569 to 1057 of the family's 1831-position model. The record is from RNAcentral. Lineage: Eukaryota; Fungi; Glomeromycota; Glomeromycetes; Diversisporales; Gigasporaceae.
AGCAGCCGCGGUAAUUCCAGCUCCAAUAGCGUAUAUUAAAGUUGUUGCAGUUAAAAAGCUCGUAGUUGAAUUUCGGGGUUCUUCCGUUGGUCAGGCUAACAAGUCUGUACUAGCGUGUAGAAUCUCUACCUUCUGGGGAACCAUCAUGUUAUUAAUUUAGCGUGGUGGGAAACCAGGACCUUUACCUUGAAAAAAUUAGAGUGUUCAAAGCAGGCUUACGUCUGAAUACAUUAGCAUGGAAUAAUAAAAUAGGACGGUGGUCCUGUUUUGUUGGUUUCUGAAUCACCGUAAUGAUUAAUAGGGAUAGUUGGGGGCAUUAGUAUUCAAUUGUCAGAGGUGAAAUUCUUGGAUUUAUUGAAGACUAACUUCUGCGAAAGCAUUUGCCAAGGAUGUUUUCAUUAAUCAAGAACGAAAGUUAGGGGAUCGAAGACGAUCAGAUACCGUCGUAGUCUUAACCAUAAACUAUGCCGACUAGGGAUCGGA